UNGGCGGCGUGGAUAAGACAUGCAAGUCGAACGAGAGAAUUGCUAGCUUGCUAAUAAUUCUCUAGUGGCGCACGGGUGAGUAACACGUGAGUAACCUGCCCCCGAGAGCGGGAUAGCCCUGGGAAACUGGGAUUAAUACCGCAUAGUAUCGAAAGAUUAAAGCAGCAAUGCGCUUGGGGAUGGGCUCGCGGCCUAUUAGUUAGUUGGUGAGGUAACGGCUCACCAAGGCGAUGACGGGUAGCCGGUCUGAGAGGAUGUCCGGCCACACUGGAACUGAGACACGGUCCAGACACCUACGGGUGGCAGCAGUCGAGAAUCAUUCACAAUGGGGGAAACCCUGAUGGUGCGACGCCGCGUGGGGGAAUGAAGGUCUUCGGAUUGUAAACCCCUGUCAUGUGGGAGCAAAUUAAAAAGAUAGUACCACAAGAGGAAGAGACGGCUAACUCUGUGCCAGCAGCCGCGGUAAUACAGAGGUCUCAAGCGUUGUUCGGAAUCACUGGGCGUAAAGCGUGCGUAGGCUGUUUCGUAAGUCGUGUGUGAAAGGCGCGGGCUCAACCCGCGGACGGCACAUGAUACUGCGAGACUAGAGUAAUGGAGGGGGAACCGGAAUUCACGGUGUAGCA
Molecule: ribosomal RNA, 623 nt
Filed under: Akkermansia muciniphila
Lineage: Bacteria; Pseudomonadati; Verrucomicrobiota; Verrucomicrobiia; Verrucomicrobiales; Akkermansiaceae
Description: bacterial SSU rRNA
Rfam family: Bacterial small subunit ribosomal RNA
Source: RNAcentral